RNAcentral lists this ribosomal RNA (897 nucleotides) under Transversotrema tragorum. RNAcentral's name for it is "eukaryotic LSU rRNA". It matches the Rfam family "Eukaryotic large subunit ribosomal RNA", at positions 38 to 647 of the family's 3401-position model. The record is from RNAcentral. Lineage: Eukaryota; Metazoa; Platyhelminthes; Trematoda; Azygiida; Transversotrematidae.
GCAUAUCUAUAAGCGGAGGAAAAGAAACUAACAAGGAUUCCCCUAGUAACUGCGAGUGAAGAGGGAAAAGCCCAGCACCGAAGGUAGUAUCCAUUUGGGUACCUACCAAUGUGGUGUUAAGGUCAGCUCACGUAGGUGCGGCUCCAUCUCAAGUCCAGCAAUGAGUACGGCUAUGGACUGAGCCCAGAGCGGGUGAAAGGCCCGUUGAGGUGGAGUUCAGAAAUGACCGCGCCUAUUGUGUUUGACCAUGGAGUCGGGUUGUUUGUGAAUGCAGCCCUAAGUGGGUGGUAAACUCCAUCCAAGGCUAAAUACUUACACGAGUCCGAUAGCGAACAAGUACCGUGAGGGAAAGUUGAAAAGUACUUUGAAGAGAGAGUAAACAGUGCGUGAAGCCGCAUAGAGGUUAAACGGGUAGAGUUAAACUGCGUGGGUCAUGGAUUCAGCCGAUGAAUUUGACUUGUGCUUGGACAAAUUGAUUCGUCCUCAGAGUCUGCUUAGCUGCAGGUCCCAUCCAGGAUUCGCGAAGCACUUACCAAGUGUUGCGUGCUCUGUUGAUGAGAUGUCAGUUCAUUGGUGCACUUCCAUGGCUCCUUGACCACGAUCGGUGUCAUUGGACUGUCCUCGUUGUCAAACUGUGGAUGUAGAACAUGUGUCUAUGUCUAUGGUGUGAUAGCACCCCUGCGUAUGCAGGUCACAGUUGGCUUCGAGAUACAAGCCGAUGGACCGGGGCAACGGCCUUGGCGUGCUCUUAUGCCCUCUAAUAGAUUGUGUUGGGUAUGGUUUUUGUGUGCUUGUGUAAGCAGGCCCAUUGACUACUCAGUGUUUUCUAUUAGUGUGGUGCUGGAGUGGCCAAAUUGAGGGCCAAAGUCAGUGGUGUGUGGUAAACUAUCUACCCGA